RNAcentral lists this ribosomal RNA (486 nucleotides) under uncultured Methylibium sp. RNAcentral's name for it is "bacterial SSU rRNA". It matches the Rfam family "Bacterial small subunit ribosomal RNA", at positions 8 to 489 of the family's 1533-position model. The record is from RNAcentral. Lineage: Bacteria; Pseudomonadati; Pseudomonadota; Betaproteobacteria; Burkholderiales; Sphaerotilaceae.
AGAGUUUGAUCAUGGCUCAGGAUAAACGCUGGCGGCAUGCCUUACACAUGCAAGUCGAGCGGCAGCGCGGGGGCAACCCUGGCGGCGAGCGGCGAACGGGUGAGUAAUACAUCGGAACGUGUCCAGUAGCGGGGGAUAACCUGUCGAAAGAUAGGCUAAUACCGCAUACGACCUACGGGUGAAAGCGGGGGACCGCAAGGCCUCGCACUAUUGGAGCGGCCGAUGUCGGAUUAGCUAGUUGGCGGGGUAAAAGCCCACCAAGGCGACGAUCCGUAGCUGGUCUGAGAGGACGAUCAGCCACACUGGAACUGAGACACGGUCCAGACUCCUACGGGAGGCAGCAGUGGGGAAUUUUGGACAAUGGGCGCAAGCCUGAUCCAGCCAUGCCGCGUGAGUGAAGAAGGCCUUCGGGUUGUAAAGCUCUUUCGGCGGGGACGAAACGGUUCAUGACAACACCAUGGACUAAUGACGGUACUCGCAGAAGAG